AAUAAUAUUUUGCUGCCCAUGUUGUUCCUGGUUGUUAACAAUAUUGUUCAGCAGGAACAAUAUGGGCAGCAAAAUAUUGUUC
Molecule: non-coding RNA, 82 nt
Organism: Paramuricea clavata
Lineage: Eukaryota; Metazoa; Cnidaria; Anthozoa; Malacalcyonacea; Plexauridae
Source: the annotation of a GenBank genome assembly